This 500-nucleotide ribosomal RNA is filed under the name uncultured bacterium. Its description in RNAcentral is "partial 16S ribosomal RNA". It matches the Rfam family "Bacterial small subunit ribosomal RNA", at positions 28 to 523 of the family's 1533-position model. The record is from RNAcentral.
GACGAACGCUGGCGGCGUGCCUAAUACAUGCAAGUCGAGCGGACCUCUUCGGAGGUCAGCGGCGGACGGGUGAGUAACACGUGGGCAACCUGCCUGUAAGACUGGGAUAACACCGGGAAACCGGUGCUAAUACCGGAUAAUCCUUUUCUUCACAUGGGGAAAAGCUGAAAGACGGUUUCGGCUGUCACUUACAGAUGGGCCCGCGGCGCAUUAGCUAGUUGGUGAGGUAACGGCUCACCAAGGCGACGAUGCGUAGCCGACCUGAGAGGGUGAUCGGCCACACUGGGACUGAGGCACGGCCCAGACUCCUACGGGAGGCAGCAGUAGGGAAUCUUCCGCAAUGGACGAAAGUCUGACGGAGCAACGCCGCGUGAGCGAAGAAGGCCUUCGGGUCGUAAAGCUCUGUUGUCAGGGAAGAACACGUACCGGAGUAACUGCCGGUACCUUGACGGUACCUGACCAGAAAGCCACGGCUAACUACGUGCCAGCCGCCGCGGUAA